CCUACGGGUGGCAGCAGUGAGGAAUAUUGGUCAAUGGGCGCGAGCCUGAACCAGCCAAGUAGCGUGAAGGAUGACUGCCCUACGGGUUGUAAACUUCUUUUAUCAAGGAAUAAAGUGAGGCACGUGUGCCUUUUGGUAUGUACUUUUUGAAUAAGGAACGGCUAACUCCGUGGCAGCAGCCGCGGUAAUACGGAGGAUCCGAGCGUUAUUCGGACUUAUUGGGUUUAAAGGGAGCGUAGAUGGGUUGUUAAGUCAGUUGUGAAAGUUUGCGGCUCAACCGUAAAAUUGCAAUUGAUACUGGCAGCCUUGAGUACGGUUGAGGUAGGCGGAAUUCGUGGUGUAGCGGUAAAAUGCUUAGAGAUCACGAAGAAGUCCGAUUGCGAAGGCAGCCUACUAAACUGCCACUGACAUUGAUGCUCGAAAGUGUGGGGAUCAAACAGGAUUAGAUACCCUUGUAGUC
RNAcentral lists this ribosomal RNA (460 nucleotides) under uncultured bacterium. RNAcentral's name for it is "partial 16S ribosomal RNA". It matches the Rfam family "Bacterial small subunit ribosomal RNA", at positions 338 to 795 of the family's 1533-position model. The record is from RNAcentral.